This 737-nucleotide ribosomal RNA is filed under the name uncultured bacterium. RNAcentral describes it as "bacterial SSU rRNA". It matches the Rfam family "Bacterial small subunit ribosomal RNA", at positions 8 to 796 of the family's 1533-position model. The record is from RNAcentral.
AGAGUUUGAUCCUGGCUCAGAACGAACGCUGGCGGCAGGCCUAACACAUGCAAGUCGAGCGCCCGCAAGGGAGCGGCAGACGGGUGAGUAACGCGUGGGAACGUGCCCUUUGGUUCGGAAUAUUCCCGGGAAACUGGGAGCAAAACCGGAUAAGCCCUUCGGGGGAAAGUUUACGCCAAAGGAUCGGCCCGCGUUAGAUUAGGUAGUUGGUGGGGUAACGGCCUACCAAGCCUACGAUCUAUAGCUGAUCUGAGAGGAUGAUCAGCCACACUGGGACUGAGACACGGCCCAGACUCCUACGGGAGGCAGCAGUGGGGAAUCUUGGACAAUGGGCGCAAGCCUGAUCCAGCCAUGCCGCGUGGAUGACUGAAGGCCCUAGGGUUGUAAAGUCCUUUCGACGGGGACGAUAAUGACGGUACCCGUAGAAGAAGCCCCGGCUAACUUCGUGCCAGCAGCCGCGGUAAUACGAAGGGGGCUAGCGUUGUUCGGAUUUACUGGGCGUAAAGGGCGCGUAGGCGGAUUUUUAAGUCGGGGGUGAAAUCCCGGAGCUCAACUCCGGAACUGCCUUCGAUACUGAAAGUCUGGAGCACGGUAGAGGUGAGUGGAAUUCCGAGUGUAGAGGUGAAAUUCGUAGAUAUUCGGAGGAACACCAGUGGCGAAGGCGGCUCACUGGACCGUUGCUGACGCUGAGGCGCGAAAGCGUGGGGAGCAAACAGAAUUAGAUACCCUGGUAGUCC